UGGAAAAGUGGCCGAGUGGCUUAAGGCGGCACCCUGCUAAGGUGUUGUAUGGGGUUACCUGUACCGUGGGUUCAAAUCCCACCUUUUCCGA
This 91-nucleotide transfer RNA is filed under the name uncultured Candidatus Melainabacteria bacterium. RNAcentral describes it as "tRNA-Ser". It matches the Rfam family "tRNA". From Rfam's summary of the family: Transfer RNA (tRNA) molecules are approximately 80 nucleotides in length. Their secondary structure includes four short double-helical elements and three loops (D, anti-codon, and T loops). The record is from RNAcentral. Lineage: Bacteria; Bacillati; Candidatus Melainabacteria.